UGUCCUGACAGAAAGGGCCGAGCAGGGAAAGGAUUGUGUCAACCUGACAGGCCUUCCCUGGGGGCCCAGAGUCCAGGGUGUGAGAAAUCACUGAAGACCCAAAAAUGUUGUUCAUUCAUGAUGAAAAGGAGCGUGACUAGGUCAGGAGUCUAUGUUAGGUGUUGACCCAGGCCACAGUGGUCGGGCUGCUUCCCGUCCUGGGCUUCUCCUUCAGCGUGGCGUCUGAAAUCAUCUUGUCCGGUGGGGAGCUCUGGGUUCCUCUUCCCGGCCCAGGCCCCUUGCUGCUGGGUGGAGUUGUCUCUCCCUCUUCAGUGUUGGACCAGGCUCCCGGGGAUGUUGGGGAAAUGCUCCUGGCGUGCCCGGCACCGAGCACCAGACUCUCAAACCACACCCCAGUCUGCUGGUCAGCAGGCACCGCCCUCUCGCCCUAGAAGGCCCCUCGGUGCUCCUAAGGUCACACUGGAGUGGCAGGUGCCACACCCCCCUGGUAGCAUAGCUCCCUCUUCUCUCAUCAGAAGUGAGAGGACAGAGGUCAGACGCCCAUGUCUUGUCAGGAACUGCUGUGUGGUUUUAGAGGUAGGUUCUGCCCUGGCAGUGGAGUUGAGGGUCCAGGGCAGGCUGUUAAGGUGGCAGACUCGGGGUACAGAAGUGACGUGUUUUCCUGGGGUGAUAGACCUUU
This 679-nucleotide long non-coding RNA is filed under the name Rattus norvegicus (Norway rat). RNAcentral's name for it is "long non-coding RNA NONRATT017277". The record is from RNAcentral. Lineage: Eukaryota; Metazoa; Chordata; Mammalia; Rodentia; Muridae.